CCUACGGGAGGCAGCAGUGGGGAAUAUUGCGCAAUGGGCGAAAGCCUGAAGCAGCGACGCAGCGUGAAGGAUGAAGGUCUUCGGAUCGUAAAACUCUGUCAGCAGGGAAGAACGGUCACUGUGCUAAUCAGCAGUGAAUUGACGGUAUCAGCAAAGGAAGCACAGGCUAACUCCGUGCCAGCAGCCGCGGUAAUACGGAGGGUGCGAGCGUUGAUCGGAUUUACUGGGCGUAAAGCGCUCGUAGGUGGUAUGUCAAGUCAAGUGUGAAAUUCCCGGGCUCAACGUUGGAACUGCCUUUGAAACUGGCAGACUUGAGUGUAUGAGAGGUGAGUGGAAUUCGAGGUGUAGGAGUGAAAUCCGUAGAUAUCUGGAGGAACAUCAAUGGCGAAGGCGACUAUCUGGCACAUAACUGACGCUGAGGAUCGAAAGCGUGGGUAUCAAACAGGAUUAGAUACCCGUGUAGUC
This 465-nucleotide ribosomal RNA is filed under the name uncultured bacterium. RNAcentral describes it as "partial 16S ribosomal RNA". It matches the Rfam family "Bacterial small subunit ribosomal RNA", at positions 338 to 795 of the family's 1533-position model. The record is from RNAcentral.